This 376-nucleotide ribosomal RNA is filed under the name uncultured bacterium. RNAcentral describes it as "bacterial SSU rRNA". It matches the Rfam family "Bacterial small subunit ribosomal RNA", at positions 29 to 430 of the family's 1533-position model. The record is from RNAcentral.
AGCGAACGCUGGCGGCAGGCUUAACACAUGCAAGUCGAACGGGCGUAGCAAUACGUCAGUGGCAGACGGGUGAGUAACGCGUGGGAACGUACCUUUUGGUUCGGAACAACCCAGGGAAACUUGGGCUAAUACCGGAUAAGCCCUUACGGGGAAAGAUUUAUCGCCGAAAGAUCGGCCCGCGUCUGAUUAGCUAGUUGGUGUGGUAACGGCGCACCAAGGCGACGAUCAGUAGCUGGUCUGAGAGGAUGAUCAGCCACAUUGGGACUGAGACACGGCCCAAACUCCUACGGGAGGCAGCAGUGGGGAAUAUUGGACAAUGGGCGCAAGCCUGAUCCAGCCAUGCCGCGUGAGUGAUGAAGGCCCUAGGGUUGUAAAG